AGUGAACGCUGGCGGUAGGCCUAACACAUGCAAGUCGAACGGCAGCACAGUAAGAGCUUGCUCUUACGGGUGGCGAGUGGCGGACGGGUGAGGAAUACAUCGGACUCUACUUUUUCGUGGGGGAUAACGUAGGGAAACUUACGCUAAUACCGCAUACGACCUACGGGUGAAAGCAGGGGAUCUUCGGACCUUGCGCGAUUGAAUGAGCCGAUGUCGGAUUAGCUAGGUGGCGGGGUAAAGGCCCACCAAGGCGACGAUCCGUAGCUGGUCUGAGAGGAUGAUCAGCCACACUGGAACUGAGACACGGUCCAGACUCCUACGGGAGGCAGCAGUGGGGAAUAUUGGACAAUGGGCGCAAGCCUGAUCCAGCCAUACCGCGUGGGUGAAGAAGGCCUUCGGGUUGUAAAGCCCUUUUGUUGGGAAAGAAAAGCAGCAGGUUAAUACCCCGCUGUUCUGACGGUACCCAAAGAAUAAGCACCGGCUAACUUCGUG
Molecule: ribosomal RNA, 492 nt
Filed under: uncultured bacterium
Lineage: Bacteria
Description: partial 16S ribosomal RNA
Rfam family: Bacterial small subunit ribosomal RNA
Source: RNAcentral